RNAcentral lists this unclassified non-coding RNA (345 nucleotides) under soil metagenome. Its description in RNAcentral is "partial contains 5.8S ribosomal RNA, internal transcribed spacer 2, and large subunit ribosomal RNA". The stretch from base 1 to 121 matches the Rfam family "5.8S ribosomal RNA", at positions 35 to 154 of the family's 154-position model. The record is from RNAcentral.
GAUGAAGAACGUAGCGAAAUGCGAUAAGUAAUGCGAAUUGCAGAAUUUCCGUGAGUCAUCGAAUCUUUGAACGCACAUUGCGCCCACUGGUAUUCCGGUGGGCAUUCCUGUUCGAGCGUCAUUAUCCUCCCUCAAACCCCGGGUUUGGUGUUGGACCCAAGUUGUGUGAACAACUGGUCUCAAAGACAAUGACGGCGUCCGUGGGACCCUCGGUGCAACGAGCUUUUAGGAGCACGCAUCGAGUUGCAAGGACCUUCCGGGCCGGUCUCCUUUACCAUUUUACAAGGUUGACCUCGGAUCAGGUAGGAAUACCCGCUGAACUUAAGCAUAUCAAUAAGCGGAGGA